CUACGGGCUGCAGCAGUGGGGAAUAUUGGGCAAUGGGCGCAAGCCUGACCCAGCAACGCCGCGUGAGGGAAGAAGGUUUUCGGAUUGUAAACCUCUGUCCUUGGGGACGAAGAAGUGACGGUACCCAAGGAGGAAGCUCCGGCUAACUACGUGCCAGCAGCCGCGGUAAUACGUAGGGAGCAAGCGUUGUCCGGAAUUACUGGGCGUAAAGGGUGCGUAGGCGGCAUAUUAAGUCAGGUGUGAAAUACUCGGGCUCAACCCGGGGGCUGCAUUUGAAACUGAUAUGCUUGAGUGUGAGAGAGGAAAGUGGAAUUCCUAGUGUAGCGGUGGAAUGCGUAGAUAUUAGGAGGAACACCAGUGGCGAAGGCGACUUUCUGGCUCAUAACUGACGCUGAGGCACGAAAGCGUGGGGAGCAAACAGGAUUAGAUACCCUUGUAGUC
This 441-nucleotide ribosomal RNA is filed under the name uncultured bacterium. Its description in RNAcentral is "partial 16S ribosomal RNA". It matches the Rfam family "Bacterial small subunit ribosomal RNA", at positions 339 to 795 of the family's 1533-position model. The record is from RNAcentral.